This 921-nucleotide long non-coding RNA is filed under the name Gallus gallus (chicken). Lineage: Eukaryota; Metazoa; Chordata; Aves; Galliformes; Phasianidae. The record is from RNAcentral.
CUGGACUCUCCAGUUUUCCUCUUCAGAGCCACAGCAAUACAGAACAAGACAUGCAGGUCAGAAGAGGAGCACUGAGGAAGUAAAAGGAAACAAUACAGGGUAAUAACUAAGUCUAACCUGUGCUUCUAAAGUAAAAUAAACCCAGAAAGGAGGAAGUGAAGCAGCACCUUUGUCCAUAGACCUCCACACUCGUGGAAGCAGCCACACCGCCUUAUCUACUGGCAACUGUGCUGCUUGGAAGGAAACAGAAGAGGAAACUCAGCACAAAGCAGGCACUAGAUACAGCAAAGCCAAGAACAUACUAAAAACCACUUGUUAACAGCUGACAUGCAUUCACAAGCUCUGUGUUUUCGGUUUCAAAGAGGACAAAUGCCAGAUGGCAGGAAUGGUAAACUGCAGGGUUGACAUUCCAGCAGAGCUAGUCACUCUGUACUGUCUUGCGUUUUCUCCCGCCUCCCCAUUCCCUCUCAACACCAAGCUCAGUCGUGCUCCUUUACUACUUCCUCUCGGGGCUUGGCUCCACCAAAGAUAGCAGAAUUUGGGUUGGCUACUUGAUUGAGGGGAGUACCAACUGUUCGAGGUUUGAGCUGAAGUCGGGGUCGCUGUGCUCUUUCCUCUUCCGUUGGCUCUCUGAAGUCCAUGGAAGAGCCACGAAGGGGAGGCCCAUCUCGGAAACGACCAGUGCCACCACUUCCCAUUGAGGCACCUGGUGGUCGUCGGUCUCCAAGGCGAGCUCCUCUACCCCGGCCUCCCAGGAAAUCAUCAUCUUUGAAUCCUCUGUCAUCAGGUCCACCUUUUCUGAAACCAAAGCCACCUUUAUCCUGUUUUCUGCCUUCUGCUAUGUCCACUCGGAGUGAUCGGUCACCCAAAAGUGCACCAUCAUAUGUAAGAGCUUCCUUGAGUGACUCCACUUCAUCGAAC